This 305-nucleotide ribosomal RNA is filed under the name uncultured bacterium. RNAcentral describes it as "bacterial SSU rRNA". It matches the Rfam family "Bacterial small subunit ribosomal RNA", at positions 337 to 659 of the family's 1533-position model. The record is from RNAcentral.
UCCUACGGGACGCAGCAGUGGGGAAUAUUGCACAAUGGGGGAAACCCUGAUGCAGCGACGCCGCGUGAAGGAAGAAGUAUUUCGGUAUGUAAACUUCUAUCAGCAGGGAAGAAAAUGACGGUACCUGACUAAGAAGCCCCGGCUAACUACGUGCCAGCAGCCGCGGUAAUACGUAGGGGGCAAGCGUUAUCCGGAUUUACUGGGUGUAAAGGGAGCGCAGACGGCAGUGCAAGUCUGGAGUGAAAGCCCGUGGCUUAACUACGGGACUGCUCUGGAAACUGUGCAGCUAGAGUGCAGGAGAGGCG